RNAcentral lists this ribosomal RNA (835 nucleotides) under Endoperplexa dartmorica. RNAcentral describes it as "partial large subunit ribosomal RNA". It matches the Rfam family "Eukaryotic large subunit ribosomal RNA", at positions 98 to 917 of the family's 3401-position model. Lineage: Eukaryota; Fungi; Basidiomycota; Agaricomycetes; Auriculariales; Exidiaceae. The record is from RNAcentral.
GCGGGAAGAGCUCAAUUUAAAAUCUGGCGCAGCCCGAGUUGUAGUCUAGAGAGGCGUUUUCCGUGCCGGACCGUGUACAAGUCCCUUGGAAUAGGGCGUCAUAGAGGGUGAGAAUCCCGUCCAUGACACGGACUCCCGGUGCUCUGUGAUGCGCCUUCAAAGAGUCGAGUUGUUUGGGAAUGCAGCUCAAAACGGGUGGUAAAUUCCAUCUAAAGCUAAAUACAGGCGAGAGACCGAUAGCGAAGCAAGUACCGUGAAGGGAAAGAUGAAAAGCACUUUGGUAAAGAGAGGUUAAAACAAGGNNACGUGGAAAAUUGGUUGGAAAGGGAAAAACGCCUUUGGAGUCAGUCGCAUGGACAGGAUUUCAGCCUUGCUUCUGCUUGGUGUAUUUCUGUGCUUCAUGGGCCAACAUCAAUUUUGGUCGCCGGAAAAGGGCUUGAGGAAGGUGGCACCCUCGGGUGUGUUAUAGCCUCUUGUCGUAUACGGUGGCUGGGAUUGAGGACUGCAGCACGAACCGGGGUUCGCCCACGCCACGUGCUUAGGAUGUUGGCGAAAUGGCUUCAAGCGACCCGUCUUGAAACACGGACCAAGGAGUCUAACAUGCCUGCGAGUGUUUGGGUGGUAAACCCAUGCGCGUAAUGAAAGUGAAAGGUUGGGACUCUGUCACAGGAGGCACCGACGCCCGAUCCUGACGUUCUCUGACGGAUUUGAGGUAGAGCAUGUAUGUUGGGACCCGAAAGAUGGUGAACUAUGCCUGAAUAGGGCGAAGCCAGAGGAAACUCUGGUGGAGGCUCGUAGCGAUUCUGACGUGCAAAUCGAUCGUCAAAUUUGGGUA